AAAUGUUGCAUAUAAUAUAUUUAGAAGUGAUCUGGCAUAAAUUGCUUCAUAGGGAUAUUACUUUAUAUGUAUAUUAUAAUAUUAAUUCAGUGCAUUUAUAUAUUGUAUUUUUAUCUAAUUUGUAUCUAAAACCCUAAUUUGGUGCAUUUUCUAGAAUCCCCAAAACAUGUUGUAAAAGCAUGUGAUGAUCAAGAAAGGCCGCUGGCCUCUGACCCUCAACAGCCAUUUUCCUCUUAAGCAUCAUAAUCUCACCCCAAUCUAGCAUUCGCAUUUGAGGCAAUUGUUUAGUAUGAAAUAACAGUAAUCACACCAAACACUGAAUGCCUUUUCUCGCUGUGUCUCUCUGCCUCUUCUUGUUCUCCUUUUGUCAUUGACCUUUGGACCCCGUCUCUGUCUGCAUAUUGACUGUUGGACUGUGAGUCACUUGAGCUGGCUGUCAAUACUUACCUGGUUUAGACACCCUGAGAGCUGUGGUCAUCAAGCAGACACGGUGAGAGUGGGGGAAAAGAGACACAUGCUGGAUGAGAAUGAAGAGAGAGAGGGAUUUAUGAGCACUCUGAUUGGACUGAAAAAAUCAAGGGCAAUAAUCCAGACACUAAAGUAAAUCUGGAAUCCAGAAUGCCACACAAGAUGACGGAUUGAUGACCAGAUGAGCCUAUGGAUGCUCUCACAUCAACGAACACGAAAAAGCAGAGCGAUCACAACAUAAAUAGACAGAUUGCAGGAUGGAUGAAUUGAUAGAUCUUUUAGAGAAGGUCAAACUUCUGUGAACUCACUCUCACUCUCAAACCAUCGUGAAAAGAAGAGAAAUUGAUUGCCGCUCACAAAAGGGUUGAAAUGACCAAGAAAUUAUUUUUCUGGGCAAUGAACAUUGUGAGUGAGUGAGAGAGAGAGAGGGAGAGAAAGGGGGGAAAAUGCCCAGCCUCUUUGUAUGAAUUGUCUCAAAAGUAACUAUAGUCAUCUUCAAGAUGUUGCCAGUGUUCUGGUCAAAUGGUCACUCUACCAGACCAGAGCGGUUUUGAGUUUCGGUACCUCAUCUGAAGUUUGGCCUCGAACGUAGCCUUCACAUUUCGCCAAAGGAGAUGGUCAUGAUGUCAUCAUUUCAGCUGUCAAGAGUCUGUCAAGGUUGCCUUGGGGACAACUGGCACCAGUGGAACCCUAGUGCCCUAUGGCACAAGCUUUCGAUUGUGGAUAUCACAGCUCCUCGAUUGAUGGAUGCCUCAGUCCACACUAUAUUACCCUGCUGGGGUGACAAAGAAGACAUCUAACACUCCCACCCCUGUGCAAAUAAAGACAUCUGGGGGGGGGAUGAAUUCUUCUUUAAUCAUAUGACGUCUGUGUGCACCAAGCCGUUCAAACGGCGCGCCACUAAUGGACUGCUGAUGAAUAGACAAAGGGAACAACCGUCCACAGUGAGCAGAACAAAUAGGCCUCCAGCACAAAUGGAGAUAAAAAAUCAUUUACAACAACUCCGUAAACUGCAACAUGAAGCUGCCUGCUGUUAUUGACAAACAUCUCCCAGGUACUACAGGUUCUUUGGUUUCCCAGCAUGCACUUCUUCCUCACAGUGACUAGGAUGUUGAGGUUCAGAUUUGCCACUCUGGACUGUUGAGAGACUCCUUCAAAUAAUAACAUUUAUUAAUGCAACACACAAUGUGUAAAUACAUAGGGUAUGUAAACUUUAUCAUUUAGUAAAAUUAUAAUAGAAAACGUAGUG
Long non-coding RNA from Sinocyclocheilus rhinocerous, 1717 nucleotides. RefSeq lists it as uncharacterized. The record is from RefSeq and is a predicted model, not a curated record. Lineage: Eukaryota; Metazoa; Chordata; Actinopteri; Cypriniformes; Cyprinidae. The transcript is spliced from 4 exons.